Molecule: ribosomal RNA, 253 nt
Filed under: uncultured bacterium
Lineage: Bacteria
Description: partial 16S ribosomal RNA
Rfam family: Bacterial small subunit ribosomal RNA
Source: RNAcentral
UACGGAGGGUGCAAGCGUUAUCCGGAUUUACUGGGUUUAAAGGGUGCGUAGGCGGCUCUUUAAGUCAGUGGUGAAAGCCUGGCGCUCAACGCGAGAAUUGCCAUUGAUACUGGAGAGCUUGAGUCAAGAAGAGGUAAGCAGAAUUCAUGGUGUAGCGGUGAAAUGCGUAGAUACCAGGAGGAAUUCCGACAGCGAAGGCAGCUUACUGGGCUUUGACUGACGCUGAGGCACGAAAGCGUGGGGAGCAAACAGG